UCCUUGGUGGUCCAGUGGCUAAAACUCAGUGCUUUCAACACAGGGGGUUCAGGUUUGAUCCCUGGUCAAGGAA
RNAcentral lists this transfer RNA (73 nucleotides) under Ovis aries (sheep). It matches the Rfam family "tRNA". From Rfam's summary of the family: Transfer RNA (tRNA) molecules are approximately 80 nucleotides in length. Their secondary structure includes four short double-helical elements and three loops (D, anti-codon, and T loops). Further hydrogen bonds mediate the characteristic L-shaped molecular structure. tRNAs have two regions of fundamental functional importance: the anti-codon, which is responsible for specific mRNA codon recognition, and the 3' end, to which the tRNAs corresponding amino acid is attached (by aminoacyl-tRNA synthetases). tRNAs cope with the degeneracy of the genetic code in two manners: having more than one tRNA (with a specific anti-codon) for a particular amino acid; and 'wobble' base-pairing, i.e. permitting non-standard base-pairing at the 3rd anti-codon position. Lineage: Eukaryota; Metazoa; Chordata; Mammalia; Artiodactyla; Bovidae. The record is from Rfam by way of RNAcentral.